Molecule: ribosomal RNA, 406 nt
Filed under: uncultured bacterium
Lineage: Bacteria
Description: partial 16S ribosomal RNA
Rfam family: Bacterial small subunit ribosomal RNA
Source: RNAcentral
AUUGAACGCUGGCGGCAGGCCUAACACAUGCAAGUCGAACGAGUGGCGGACGGGUGAGUAAUGUCUGGGAAACUGCCUGAUGGAGGGGGAUAACUACUGGAAACGGUAGCUAAUACCGCAUACCAUCGGAUGUGCCCAGAUGGGAUUGUCUUGUUGGUGGGGUAACGGCUCACCAAGGCGACGAUCCCUAGCUAGUCUGAGAGGGUGACCAGCCACACUGGAACUGAGACACGGUCCAGACUCCUACGGGAGGCAGCAGUGGGGAAUAUUGCACAAUGGGCGCAAGCCUGAUGCAGCCAUGCCGCGUGUAUGAAGAAGGCCCUAGGGUUGUAAAGUACUUUCAGUCGGGAGGCGUUACCGACAGAAGAAGCACCGGCUAACUCCGUGCCAGCCGCCGCGGUAAUUC